UACAGAGGUCUCAAGCGUUGUUCGGAAUCACUGGGCGUAAAGGGCGUGUAGGCGGUCAAGUAAGUGGAAUGUGAAAUGCCCCGGCUCACCCGGGGACCGGCAUCCCAAACUGCUUGGCUUGAGUAUGGGAGAGGAUGAGGGAAUUCCUGGUGUAGCGGUGAAAUGCGUAGAUAUCAGGAGGAACACCGGUGGCGAAGGCGCUCAUCUGGCCCAAUACUGACGCUGAUGCGCGAAAGCUAGGGGAGCAAACGGG
RNAcentral lists this ribosomal RNA (253 nucleotides) under uncultured bacterium. RNAcentral's name for it is "partial 16S ribosomal RNA". It matches the Rfam family "Bacterial small subunit ribosomal RNA", at positions 524 to 776 of the family's 1533-position model. The record is from RNAcentral.